Molecule: non-coding RNA, 73 nt
Organism: Dispira parvispora
Lineage: Eukaryota; Fungi; Kickxellomycota; Dimargaritomycetes; Dimargaritales; Dimargaritaceae
Source: the annotation of a GenBank genome assembly
GCUUCUUUGGCUCAGUUGGCAGAGCGUCCGCCUAGUAAGCGGAAGGUCGUCAGUUCAAUUCUGGCAAGAAGCA